AUUGAACGCUGGCGGCAGGCCUAACACAUGCAAGUCGAACGAGUGGCGGACGGGUGAGUAAUGUCUGGGACUCUGCCUGAUGGAGGGGGAUCACUACUGGAAACGGUUGCUAAUACCGCAUACCAUCAGAUGUGCCCAGAUGGGAUUAGCUUGUUGGUGGGGUAACGGCUCACCAAGCCGACGAUCCCUAGCUGGUCUGAGAGGAUGACCAGCCGCACGGGAACUUAGACACGGUCCAGACGCCAACGGGAGGCAGCAUUGUGUAAUAUUGAACAAUGUGCGAAAGCCUGAUGCAGCCAUGCCGCGUGUAUGAAGAAGGCCUGCGGGGUGUAAAGUACUUUCAGCGGGGAGGCGUUACCCGCAGAAGAAGCACCGGCAAACUGCGUGCCAGCAGCCGCGGUAAUUC
RNAcentral lists this ribosomal RNA (406 nucleotides) under uncultured bacterium. Its description in RNAcentral is "partial 16S ribosomal RNA". It matches the Rfam family "Bacterial small subunit ribosomal RNA", at positions 30 to 526 of the family's 1533-position model. The record is from RNAcentral.